RNAcentral lists this long non-coding RNA (483 nucleotides) under Homo sapiens (human). RNAcentral describes it as "non-protein coding lnc-ALDH1B1-6:3". Lineage: Eukaryota; Metazoa; Chordata; Mammalia; Primates; Hominidae. The record is from RNAcentral.
AGAACAUCAGCUCAUCAGAAGCAGUGACAUCCAAGAGCCCAGAGGAGCCUGAAGAACAAUUGAGAGAAGCCUCCUUUGCCAACGCGUUGCCCACCAGGGCUGCACGUGGUACCCUUGCUCCAAGAUGCUUCCCAAAAACACCAGGACCAGGCAGUUAAAUGGCACUUGUACCAGCUCGGUGGACAUGGAGCUCUUCCUUCAUUAUUCCCUCAUCCCAUCACUCUUCAUCAUGUUGAUCUUGUCCUUCCUUCAAAGAUGAGAGCAUUGUAGACAGAGAGAUGAUACCUCUUACCUGCUGGGGAACUGCUUUGGCAUUAUCAUCCUUUGAGCUUCUGAUUGGAGGCAUUGAAGUCGGCCUGUCCCACUUCCCCUUCUUUGCCUGCCUCUCGUCGGAAUUCCAGCUGGUCAGCUCCAUCUUGGGCUUCUGCUACUCUGAUCUGGUUUGCUGUCACCAUUAUUCAAGUUUCACAGUGUCCCCACGGG